UCUUAUCUAGAGAGGUGGAGGGACUGGUCCUGUGAAGCCUCGGCAACCAUCAUAUAAUGAACGGUGCCAAUGCCAGUAGAAAUAUAUUCUAGUCGAUGAG
RNAcentral lists this non-coding RNA (100 nucleotides) under Bacillus massilioanorexius. RNAcentral describes it as "SAM riboswitch (S box leader)". It matches the Rfam family "SAM riboswitch aptamer (S box leader)". Rfam says of the family: The SAM riboswitch is found upstream of a number of genes which code for proteins involved in methionine or cysteine biosynthesis in Gram-positive bacteria. The SAM riboswitch acts at the level of transcription termination control. The record is from RNAcentral. Lineage: Bacteria; Bacillati; Bacillota; Bacilli; Caryophanales; Bacillaceae.